This 254-nucleotide ribosomal RNA is filed under the name uncultured bacterium. Its description in RNAcentral is "partial 16S ribosomal RNA". It matches the Rfam family "Bacterial small subunit ribosomal RNA", at positions 524 to 776 of the family's 1533-position model. The record is from RNAcentral.
UACAGAGGGGGGCAAGCGUUGUUCGGAUUCAUUGGGCGUAAAGGGUGCGUAGGCGGUUCGUUAAGACAGGUGUGAAAUCUCGGGGCUUAACUCCGAAACUGCAUUUGAUACUGGCGUGCUUGAGGACUGGAGAGGAGACUGGAAUUCAUGGUGUAGCAGUGAAAUGCGUAGAGAUCAUGAGGAAGACCAGUGGCGAAGGCGGGUCUCUGGACAGUUCCUGACACUGAGGCACGAAGGCCAGGGGAGCAAACGGG